Molecule: long non-coding RNA, 1514 nt
Organism: Myotis lucifugus (little brown bat)
Lineage: Eukaryota; Metazoa; Chordata; Mammalia; Chiroptera; Vespertilionidae
Exons: 3
Source: RefSeq, a predicted model, not a curated record
GUGAAGCUGGCUUCCUGGUCCAGGGAGAAGCCGGGAAACUGGUACAGCACUUUCCGUCGAGGGAAGAAGUUCUCCUAUGUGGACGCCGACGGGUCCCCGGUGAACGUGGUGCAGUUGACCUUCCUGAAGCUGCUGAGCGCCCGCGCCCGCCAGAGCUUUGCCUACUCCUGCCAGAACGUGGCUGCCUGGCUGGAUGAAGCCGCCGGCGACCACGGCCGCUCCCUUCGCUUCCUGGGGACCAACGGACAGGAGCUGUCCUUCAACCAGACGGCAGCAGCCACCGUCACUGUCCCUUAUGACGGCUGCCGGCUCCGGGAGGGACAGGCCAAAACCCUCCUGGAGUUCAGCUCUUCCCGAGCGGGCUUUCUGCCCCUGUGGGACGUGGCGGCCACCGAUUUCGGCCAGACCAACCAGAAGUUUGGGUUUGAACUGGGGCCCGUCUGCUUCAGCGGCUGAGCGUCUUGGGGGUGGGCGGGGCCACGAGGGAGCCCCAGCUGGGGCACACUUGGUGCUGAGGCUUUGAAGCCACCAUAUUUAUCGUCUCCUGUGCCUGUGGACUCAGAGGGAAGUCUGCUCGUCAUGGCCAGACAAUGUCCCUUCUCCACUCCCCGGGGCUGCGGGCUGGACUCCCCUGGCCCAGGAGUCCAGCCUCCCCGCCCCCUCCUUUGCUGGAGUGAUGCAGUCUUUCUCCCCUCCCUGCCCAUUCCACCUGCAACUCCCACUCCGGAUCCCCCACGCAACGAACUUCUAAUUCAGAGCUGAGUGCCCCCACGCCUGUCUCCCUUCUCAGGCAGUGCCCCAACACCCUUUGGUGCUACCCUUUCCCCUAGUUAAGCACUGGACGUCUCCUGAUCCCAGGCUGGGCCCCUUCCCUCAUUCCUCUUCUCAGGUGGGUUCAGAGAGAAGGAACUGAAGUCCGACCACAGAGGGAAGUGAGACUUGCCUGGACUGAGCUGUGUAUUCCUUUGGCUGCCUCAGCCCAGCUCUGAAUACAGGCCCCCUCAUAUCUCACCAAGCCAGAGGGCUGGGGGACCAAGGUGCGGGGUCAAUCAGGAUCCUAAUGGUGCUGCCCUAUUUAUACCGGGAUCUGUAUUAAAAGGGAAAAUCCCCUCUGUUAUAUAUUUAAUCUGCUUCCUCCUCACAGAAGGCUGGGAUAUGAUGAGAGAGAUUCUAGCAUGACCCCCUCCCCCACCUCCCCAGGGCAUCAUUGGCUUCUCAAGUCUGAGAAUAAACCACUGAACUGUGUCCCUGUCUGUGUCCUUCCUCUGGUGCUGCCCGCAUCUUCCUUAGGGUCUGUCUGUGGUGUCACCUGAGGUAUUGCCAUCACCUGUCUUAAUCGUGUUGUUUAGUGGAGGUGGUUUGAGGGGGUGGGGGAACCCAAUUCUAAUGGGAUUCACUGGAGGUGGUGGGCCUGUUUAUUAACUCAGGAAAAGUUGAAAAUAGCUAGAUCUCUAAGAGAGUAGAUCUUAACUUUUCUCACCACAAAAAAAAUAAAGAAUAAUUAUGUGAUGUAA